This 459-nucleotide ribosomal RNA is filed under the name uncultured bacterium. Its description in RNAcentral is "partial 16S ribosomal RNA". It matches the Rfam family "Bacterial small subunit ribosomal RNA", at positions 338 to 795 of the family's 1533-position model. The record is from RNAcentral.
CCUACGGGAGGCAGCAGUGAGGAAUAUUGGUCAAUGGUCGGGAGACUGAACCAGCCAAGCCGCGUGAGGGAUGAAGGUACAGAGUAUCGUAAACCUCUUUUGUCAGGGAACAAAGGCGGGGACGUGUCCCCGGAUGAGUGUACCUGAAGAAAAAGCAUCGGCUAACUCCGUGCCAGCAGCCGCGGUAAUACGGAGGAUGCGAGCAUUAUCCGGAUUUAUUGGGUUUAAAGGGUACGCAGGCGGUCUGUUAAGUCAGCGGUAAAAGCCCGGGGCUCAACCCCGGCCCGCCGUUGAAACUGGCAGUCUCGAGUUGGAGAGAAGUAUGCGGAAUGCGCGGUGUAGCGGUGAAAUGCAUAGAUAUCGCGCAGAACUCCGAUUGCGAAGGCAGCAUGCCGGCUCCACACUGACGCUGAGGCACGAAAGCGUGGGUAUCGAACAGGAUUAGAUACCCGUGUAGUC